AAGCAUCCAAAGAUAGCGGGUGAUGAAGAAGAGCAGAGAGCUCCAUUAAACAGAGCCGUACCUUGACUUUUGAUGGAGAUAAAGAUUCUAAAGAACAAAGAUGAAGAAAGUAGGCAAGAUCACCAUUGAGCAAUUGCGCACAAUUGCUACUGAAAAGCUGGCAGAUUUAAAUUGCACAAGUAUAGAAUUAGCAAUGAGAGUUAUAGCAGGGAUGACAGCUAACAUGGGAAUUGAUAUUGACCCUCCAGUUCUUGAACCCAAAUGAAGGAACUUGUGUAGAUCCCUUUGUUUUAUAUAUAUAUUGGGGAUGACAGAAGAUGAUUGCUUCACGGUUGCCCUUCCCUAAUAAAAUUUGUACUGAAAUUAAAACAUGGAAUAGGCCAACACUUUGAAUCUCUUUUAAACAUUUUCCUGAAGUCUAAUUAGUGAUCUCAUAUUGAGGUUACUUAGUUGCU
Quercus robur (English oak) is the source of this 455-nucleotide long non-coding RNA. RefSeq lists it as uncharacterized. The record is from RefSeq and is a predicted model, not a curated record. Lineage: Eukaryota; Viridiplantae; Streptophyta; Magnoliopsida; Fagales; Fagaceae. The transcript is spliced from 2 exons.